Molecule: transfer RNA, 73 nt
Filed under: Frankiaceae bacterium
Lineage: Bacteria; Bacillati; Actinomycetota; Actinomycetes; Frankiales; Frankiaceae
Rfam family: tRNA
About the family: Transfer RNA (tRNA) molecules are approximately 80 nucleotides in length. Their secondary structure includes four short double-helical elements and three loops (D, anti-codon, and T loops).
Source: Rfam by way of RNAcentral
GCCUGCGUAGCUCAACGGAUAGAGCUCUCGGUUUCUACCCGAGUGGUUGGGGGUUCGAGUCCCUCCGCGGGCA